This 82-nucleotide transfer RNA is filed under the name Thonningia sanguinea. RNAcentral describes it as "tRNA-Gln". It matches the Rfam family "tRNA". Rfam says of the family: Transfer RNA (tRNA) molecules are approximately 80 nucleotides in length. Their secondary structure includes four short double-helical elements and three loops (D, anti-codon, and T loops). Further hydrogen bonds mediate the characteristic L-shaped molecular structure. tRNAs have two regions of fundamental functional importance: the anti-codon, which is responsible for specific mRNA codon recognition, and the 3' end, to which the tRNAs corresponding amino acid is attached (by aminoacyl-tRNA synthetases). tRNAs cope with the degeneracy of the genetic code in two manners: having more than one tRNA (with a specific anti-codon) for a particular amino acid; and 'wobble' base-pairing, i.e. permitting non-standard base-pairing at the 3rd anti-codon position. Lineage: Eukaryota; Viridiplantae; Streptophyta; Magnoliopsida; Santalales; Balanophoraceae. The record is from RNAcentral.
UGGAGUAUAGCCAAGUGGUAAGGCAUCGGUUUUUGGUACCGGUACCGGCAUGCAAAGGUUCGAAUCAAUCCUUUUACUCCAG